Long non-coding RNA from Dicentrarchus labrax (European seabass), 1457 nucleotides. RefSeq lists it as uncharacterized. The transcript has 3 exons. NCBI's taxonomy places the organism in Eukaryota, Metazoa, Chordata, Actinopteri, Moronidae. The record is from RefSeq and is a predicted model, not a curated record.
GAAGGUGAAAGCGAUUGUGUUUUUGGCCACAUGCCUUCCUGAAAACACAUUAGUCUUUGAUUUUCAACGAGACCCUUGAAAAACAGAAGCUCCCGAGAAGAAAGAGAAAGAGAUCUCCACGGUUGAGAGGAAGUUGUGUGGCUCAGGUUCUACCCAUCUGGCAACACCUGAAGUUGCUCAACGUCCUCCAGGAUCCACAUCUAAAGGAUAUACAGGUGAUGCAAUUGCAUAGGGGCCCGCCGCAGUCCGGGGCCCGCAACGGACCACUCCGAUCACGUUGCCGUGGAUGUUAGCAGGAAGGUGGCUAAAUAACGCUCCAAAGUUGGCGAUGUAAAAACUGGCAUUGCCAUUUUCAAAGGGAUCCCUUGACGUCUGACCUCAAGAUACCUGAAACACCUGAAUUAUACAGAAAAAAUACAACUACUUUUGCAAUUUCUCCCACAAUUCCAUUGCAAAAACAAUACCUGAAGAACACUGCAACAUGCAUUUAUGUAUUUUGAAUAUUUCUUUUGUUCUUUUACCUGCUGGUUUAACGGCUCAUAAUGCAGGUUAUCAUAAUUAAACUGAUGAGCUCUUCAAAUCAACAUGAGAACAUCGUUAGCUGCUUGUACUCUCUGUACUCAUUAAAAACCUCUUACAUGGAACACGCUGUGAGCUCGCCAGUUACAGCCUCAGUGUACAUGCACAGUUAAAACAUCAAGGAUAACACAAUAAAGUCACAGGAUUUCUGUUGUGGUUAGAUGCCGUAAAGGUCUGAGUGUAAAAGCAUAAAUAACAACAAUAAACAGAAAGUAUUCACAUUAUUGCUUUUUAAAUAUUUCACAGUCGUUGUUCAGAUGUUCUUAACUUGUGUCCAGUGAAAAAUGUCAUUUAUUAUUGUAUUGUGUAAAUUAUAUUAUAUUAUUACUUUACUAAUUACUCCCUGCCAACAGUAAUUAGUUACACUGCUAGUGAUAUUACUUUUCUGUUUGGUAAUUGUGUCCCCUCUCCCCAAAAUUCAGAUUGACAAUGAUUAAAAUCAAAGGUUUUGGGGUUGGGAGAGUUACUUUAAAAGUGUAAUCUGAUAUAAUUACUAAUUACCUGGAAAAAACUGUAGUCAGUAAUAUAAUCAAAGUAUCACAAUAUUAAAAUAACAUAACUUGAUUAGUUUCAGUUACUUUUUUCUGUAACUGUAAUGAAUUACAUUUUUUUUGCAUCCUGAUUAUGUAAUCUGUUACUCCCCAAACCUGUGGACAAAUACUCCAAACCCAGUAAAGUCCAUGUGUAUUUUAUUUCAAUAAAAGUACAGUAUUAGUGGAACAGAUGGAUAGAUGGAUGGAUGGAUGGAUAGAUGGAUAGACAGAUGGAUAGAUAGAUAAAGUGGGAUGAAAAGUUAAAAUAAUAAUACAGUAUUUGUUAUCUCAGUGUACUUCCCCCUCUGAUCACAUUCCUUUAACCCCUGCGGUGUAUGUGGCUGC